RNAcentral lists this ribosomal RNA (440 nucleotides) under uncultured bacterium. RNAcentral describes it as "partial 16S ribosomal RNA". It matches the Rfam family "Bacterial small subunit ribosomal RNA", at positions 338 to 795 of the family's 1533-position model. The record is from RNAcentral.
CCUACGGGAGGCAGCAGUGGGGGAUAUUGCACAAUGGGGGGAACCCUGAUGCAGCGACGCCGCGUGGGUGAAGAAGGGCCUCGGCGCGUAAAGCCCUGUCAGCAGGGAAGAAAAUGACGGUACCUGACGAAGACGCCCCGGCUAACUACGUGCCAGCAGCCGCGGUAAUACGUAGGGGGCAAGCGUUAUCCGGAUUUACUGGGUGUAAAGGGGGCGCAGACGGGGAUGCAAGCCAGAAGUGAAAGCCCGGGGCCCAACCCUAGGACUGCAUUUGGAACUGCGUGGCUGGAGUGCAGGAGGGGCAGGCGGAAUUCCUGGUGUAGCGGUGAAAUGCGUAGAUAUCAGGAGGAACACCGGUGGCGAAGGCGGCCUGCUGGACUGCAACUGACGUUGAGGCCCGAAAGCGUGGGGAGCAAACAGGAUUAGAUACCCGAGUAGUC